Molecule: ribosomal RNA, 253 nt
Filed under: uncultured bacterium
Lineage: Bacteria
Description: partial 16S ribosomal RNA
Rfam family: Bacterial small subunit ribosomal RNA
Source: RNAcentral
UACGGGGGGGGCAAGCGUUGUUCGGAAUUACUGGGCGUAAAGGGUUCGUAGGUGGCCAACUAAGUCAGACGUGAAAUCCCUCAGCUUAACUGGGGAACUGCGUCUGAGACUGGAUGGCUUGAGUGCAGGAGAGGAACGCGGAAUUCCAGGUGUAGCGGUGAAAUGCGUAGAUAUCUGGAGGAACACCGGUGGCGAAGGCGGCAUCCUGGACCAACACUGACGCUGAGGAGCGAAAGCCAGGGGAGCAAACGGG